GGGAUAGGAUGGGGGAUUACAGGAUGUGUGAGGGCAUUAUGGGAUAUGCGGGGUAUUAUGGGAUGUGUGGACGGCAUUAUGGAAUAGGAUGGGAUGGGAUGGGGUACUAUGGGAUGUUAUGGGGGAUUAUGGAAUGUCAGGUGAUGGGGUAUUAUGGGAUGGCGGGAUUAUGGGAUGGGGAAGUAUUAUGGGAUGUGGGGGUAUCAUGAAUAGUAGGGACGUUAUGGGGUUAUGGGAAUGUUAUGGGGUUAUGGGAAUGUUAUGGGGUUAUGGGGACGUUAUGGGGUUAUGGGGAAUGUUAUGGGGUUAUGGGGAAUGUUAUGGGGUUAUGGGGAUGUUAUGGGGUUAUGGGGAAUAUUAUGGGGUUAUGGGGACGUUAUGGGAUUAUGGAGAUGUUAUGGGGUUAUGGGGACGUUAUAGGGAUGUUAUGGGGUUAUGGG
Molecule: long non-coding RNA, 440 nt
Filed under: Phasianus colchicus (ring-necked pheasant)
Lineage: Eukaryota; Metazoa; Chordata; Aves; Galliformes; Phasianidae
Description: lncRNA (ENSPCLG00000018936.1)
Source: RNAcentral